GUCAGGAGAACGCUAGCGGCAGGCUUAACACAUGCAAGUCGAGGGGUAUAGUUCUUCGGAAUUAGAGACCGGCGCACGGGUGCGUAACGCGUAUGCAAUCUGCCUUUCACAGAGGGAUAGCCCAGAGAAAUUUGGAUUAAUACCUCAUAGUAUUACAGAAGGGCAUCAUCCAGUAAUUAAAGUCACAACGGUGAAAGAUGAGCAUGCGUCCCAUUAGUUAGUUGGUAAGGUAACGGCUUACCAAGACUUCGAUGGGUAGGGGUCCUGAGAGGGAGAUCCCCCACACUGGUACUGAGACACGGACCAGACUCCUACGGGAGGCAGCAGUGAGGAAUAUUGGUCAAUGGGCGCAAGCCUGAACCAGCCAUGCCGCGUGCAGGAUGACGGUCCUAUGGAUUGUAAACUGCUUUUGUACGAGAAGAAACACUCCGACGUGUCGGAGCUUGACGGUAUCGUAAGAAUAAGGAUCGGCUAACUCCGUGCCAGCAGCCGCGGUAAUACGGAGGAUCCAAGCGUUAUCCGGAAUCAUUGGGUUUAAAGGGUCCGUAGGCGGUCUUGUAAGUCAGUGGUGAAAGCCCAUCGCUCAACGAUGGAACGGCCAUUGAUACUGCAGGACUUGAAUUAUUGGGUAAGUAACUAGAAUAUGUAGUGUAGCGGUGAAAUGCUUAGAGAUUACAUGGAAUACCAAUUGCGAAGGCAGGUUACUACCAAAUUGAUUGACGCUGAUGGACGAAAGCGUGGGUAGCGAACAGGAUUAGAUACCCUGGUAGUCCACGCCGUAAACGAUGGAUACUAGCUGUUGGGCGCAAGUUCAGUGGCUAAGCGAAAGUGAUAAGUAUCCCACCUGGGGAGUACGUUCGCAAGAAUGAAACUCAAAGGAAUUGACGGGGGCCCGCACAAGCGGUGGAGCAUGUGGUUUAAUUCGAUGAUACGCGAGGAACCUUACCAAGGCUUAAAUGCAGACUGACCGAUUUGGAAACAGAUCUUUCGCAAGACAGUUUACAAGGUGCUGCAUGGUUGUCGUCAGCUCGUGCCGUGAGGUGUCAGGUUAAGUCCUAUAACGAGCGCAACCCCUGUUGUUAGUUGCCAGCGAGUCAUGUCGGGAACUCUAACAAGACUGCCAGUGCAAACUGUGAGGAAGGUGGGGAUGACGUCAAAUCAUCACGGCCCUUACGCCUUGGGCUACACACGUGCUACAAUGGCCGGUACAGAGAGCAGCCACCUCGCGAGAGGGAGCGAAUCUAUAAAGCCGGUCACAGUUCGGAUCGGAGUCUGCAACUCGACUCCGUGAAGCUGGAAUCGCUAGUAAUCGGAUAUCAGCCAUGAUCCGGUGAAUACGUUCCCGGGCCUUGUACACACCGCCCGUCAAGCCAUGGAAGCUGGGGGUGCCUGAAGUCGGUGACCGCAAGGAGCUGCCUAGGGUAAAACUGGUAACUAGGGCUAAUC
This 1446-nucleotide ribosomal RNA is filed under the name uncultured Flavobacterium sp. RNAcentral's name for it is "bacterial SSU rRNA". It matches the Rfam family "Bacterial small subunit ribosomal RNA". The record is from RNAcentral. Lineage: Bacteria; Pseudomonadati; Bacteroidota; Flavobacteriia; Flavobacteriales; Flavobacteriaceae.